This 460-nucleotide ribosomal RNA is filed under the name uncultured bacterium. Its description in RNAcentral is "partial 16S ribosomal RNA". It matches the Rfam family "Bacterial small subunit ribosomal RNA", at positions 338 to 795 of the family's 1533-position model. The record is from RNAcentral.
CCUACGGGUGGCAGCAGUGAGGAAUAUUGGUCAAUGGACGCAAGUCUGAACCAGCCAUGCCGCGUGCAGGAAGACGGCUCUAUGAGUUGUAAACUGCUUUUGUACGAGGGUAAACGCAGAUACGCGUAUCUGUCUGAAAGUAUCGUACGAAUAAGGAUCGGCUAACUCCGUGCCAGCCGCCGCGGUAAUACGGAGGAUUCAAGCGUUAUCAGUAUUUAUUGGGGUUAAAGGGUGCGUAGGCGGUCGGAUAAGUUAGAGGUGAAAUCCCGAGGCUCAACUUCGGAAUUGCCUCUGAUACUGUUCGGCUAGAGAGUAGUUGCGGUAGGCGGAAUGUAUGGUGUAGCGGUGAAAUGCUUAGAGAUCAUACAGAACACCGAUUGCGAAGGCAGCUUACCAAGCUACUUCUGACGCUGAGGCACGAAGGCCAGGGGAGCGAAAGGGAUUAGAUACCCGAGUAGUC